Molecule: long non-coding RNA, 1015 nt
Filed under: Marmota monax (woodchuck)
Lineage: Eukaryota; Metazoa; Chordata; Mammalia; Rodentia; Sciuridae
Source: RNAcentral
GAUCUUACUUUCAUAUAUUUUGCCCUAGUCAUGAAGGAUAUUGUUACCAACUUGAGGAGACUGUUGGACACUGACUCUUUCUAGGAAAAAGCUUUUAAGAUCUAAAGUAAAUUUUAUUUUCCAAAAUUUAUAUUCAACCUUGUUCCUAAUUAUACUUGCACUAGAGAUAUUUCAACGGGCCAACUUAAAAUAGCACUGAAUAGGUUCAAGUAUAGUAUGGUCUUAUUCUGUUUUUGCUUUCUAGCUUCUGGAGAAAAUAAAUGGAUAAUAAUUGAAAUAUGGAAAAAUAGAUUGGUAUUUUUAAGUCUUCUGCUGUGACCAAACACAAGAUUACUAAAUUUUUCCUGGCAGAUUUCUGCUUCACUCUUCUGCUAAUUCUGUCUUUUACAGUUGCUUCUUGCUUCUUUUUCUUGUCUUGUGUUCAAGCUAUAAAUGGAGCUUUUUAUAAACCAGCAGUUACAGUAGAAUGGCCCUGUGUUGCUGUGGUUAUCAGGUGAACGGACCCAGGUAGAAGGAGAGGUACGUUCUUCCCAGAAUAGUACUUUGCCGUGCUCAUCAUUACCAUCACAGUGACUAUCUUUAGUAGGAACUUACCUGAUAAAUCCUUUAUUCAGCACUUGUUUUGCAUUAUCUGUUUUUAUUUUUUAUUAUAACCCUAUGAGAGCAGUAAUGUUCUUCUUGGCUAUCAAAUUUGUGAUAUUAUAAGGUUGCAAAAUUCAGUAAACAAAUGCAAGUAUUAUUUACAUCAUCAAUAUUAUUUAUCCUUUCUUUUGCUCCUCUUUGCCCAUGUACUUUAUCUGGAAAACAUUUUAAAUGAGCACCUUUGAUAAUUACAUUGUUGGUGGGCAUGGUGGCGCAGGAGGCUGAGGCAGGAGGAUCGCAAGUUCAAGCCAACUUCAACAAAUUAGCGAGGCCCUAAACAACAUAGUAAGACCCUGUCUCUCAAUUUAAAAAGGCUAAGACAUGUGCCCCAGUGGUUGCAUGCCACUGGGUUCAAUCCCUGCUACAAACAAAC